This 301-nucleotide ribosomal RNA is filed under the name uncultured bacterium. Its description in RNAcentral is "partial 16S ribosomal RNA". It matches the Rfam family "Bacterial small subunit ribosomal RNA", at positions 509 to 807 of the family's 1533-position model. The record is from RNAcentral.
CAGCAGCCGCGGUAAUACGUAGGGUGCAAGCGUUAAUCGGAAUUACUGGGCGUAAAGCGUGCGCAGGCGGUUUGUUAAGACAGAUGUGAAAUCCCCGGGCUCAACCUGGGAACUGCAUUUGUGACUGGCAAGCUAGAGUGUGGCAGAGGGGGGUGGAAUUCCGCGUGUAGCAGUGGAAUGCGUAGACAUGCGGAGGAACGCCGAUGGCGAAGGCAGCCCCCUGGGCCAACACUGACGCUCAUGCACGAAAGCGUGGGGAGCAAACAGGAUUAGAUACCCGGGUAGUCCCUGUCUCUUAUAC